RNAcentral lists this ribosomal RNA (478 nucleotides) under uncultured bacterium. RNAcentral's name for it is "partial 16S ribosomal RNA". It matches the Rfam family "Bacterial small subunit ribosomal RNA", at positions 28 to 523 of the family's 1533-position model. The record is from RNAcentral.
GACGAACGCUGGCGGCGUGCUUAACACAUGCAAGUCGAACGGUAAGGCCCUUCGGGGUACACGAGUGGCGAACGGGUGAGUAACACGUGGGUGAUCUGCCCUGCACUUCGGGAUAAGCCUGGGAAACUGGGUCUAAUACCGGAUAGGACCACUGCCUGCAUGGGUGGUGGUGGAAAGCUGUUGCGGUGUGGGAUGGGCUCGCGGCCUAUAAGCUUGUUGGUGGGGUGAUGUCCUACCAAGGCGACGACGGGUAGCCGGCCUGAGAGGGUGACCGGCCACACUGGGCCUGGGAUACGGCCCAGACUCCUACGGGAGGCAGCAGUGGGGAAUAUUGCACAAUGGGCGCAAGCCUGAUGCAGCGACGCCGCGUGAGGGAUGACGGCCUUCGGGUUGUAAACCUCUUUCAGCACCGACGAAGCGCAAGUGACGGUAGGUGCAGAAGAAGGACCGGCCAACUACGUGCCAGCAGCCGCGGUAA